Molecule: ribosomal RNA, 2487 nt
Filed under: Staphylococcus aureus
Lineage: Bacteria; Bacillati; Bacillota; Bacilli; Caryophanales; Staphylococcaceae
Description: 23S ribosomal RNA
Rfam family: Bacterial large subunit ribosomal RNA
Source: RNAcentral
AUUCCGUCGGAAUCUGGGAGGACCAUCUCCUAAGGCUAAAUACUCUCUAGUGACCGAUAGUGAACCAGUACCGUGAGGGAAAGGUGAAAAGCACCCCGGAAGGAGAGUGAAAUAGAACCUGAAACCGUGUGCUUACAAGUAGUCAGAGCCCGUUAAUGGGUGAUGGCGUGCCUUUUGUAGAAUGAACCGGCGAGUUACGAUUUGAUGCAAGGUUAAGCAGUAAAUGUGGAGCCGUAGCGAAAGCGAGUCUGAAUAGGGCGUUUAGUAUUUGGUCGUAGACCCGAAACCAGGUGAUCUACCCUUGGUCAGGUUGAAGUUCAGGUAACACUGAAUGGAGGACCGAACCGACUUACGUUGAAAAGUGAGCGGAUGAACUGAGGGUAGCGGAGAAAUUCCAAUCGAACCUGGAGAUAGCUGGUUCUCUCCGAAAUAGCUUUAGGGCUAGCCUCAAGUGAUGAUUAUUGGAGGUAGAGCACUGUUUGGACGAGGGGCCCCUCUCGGGUUACCGAAUUCAGACAAACUCCGAAUGCCAAUUAAUUUAACUUGGGAGUCAGAACAUGGGUGAUAAGGUCCGUGUUCGAAAGGGAAACAGCCCAGACCACCAGCUAAGGUCCCAAAAUAUAUGUUAAGUGGAAAAGGAUGUGGCGUUGCCCAGACAACUAGGAUGUUGGCUUAGAAGCAGCCAUCAUUUAAAGAGUGCGUAAUAGCUCACUAGUCGAGUGACACUGCGCCGAAAAUGUACCGGGGCUAAACAUAUUACCGAAGCUGUGGAUUGUCCUUUGGACAAUGGUAGGAGAGCGUUCUAAGGGCGUUGAAGCAUGAUCGUAAGGACAUGUGGAGCGCUUAGAAGUGAGAAUGCCGGUGUGAGUAGCGAAAGACGGGUGAGAAUCCCGUCCACCGAUUGACUAAGGUUUCCAGAGGAAGGCUCGUCCGCUCUGGGUUAGUCGGGUCCUAAGCUGAGGCCGACAGGCGUAGGCGAUGGAUAACAGGUUGAUAUUCCUGUACCACCUAUAAUCGUUUUAAUCGAUGGGGGGACGCAGUAGGAUAGGCGAAGCGUGCGAUUGGAUUGCACGUCUAAGCAGUAAGGCUGAGUAUUAGGCAAAUCCGGUACUCGUUAAGGCUGAGCUGUGAUGGGGAGAAGACAUUGAGUCUUCGAGUCGUUGAUUUCACACUGCCGAGAAAAGCCUCUAGAUAGAAAAUAGGUGCCCGUACCGCAAACCGACACAGGUAGUCAAGAUGAGAAUUCUAAGGUGAGCGAGCGAACUCUCGUUAAGGAACUCGGCAAAAUGACCCCGUAACUUCGGGAGAAGGGGUGCUCUUUAGGGUUAACGCCCAGAAGAGCCGCAGUGAAUAGGCCCAAGCGACUGUUUAUCAAAAACACAGGUCUCUGCUAAACCGUAAGGUGAUGUAUAGGGGCUGACGCCUGCCCGGUGCUGGAAGGUUAAGAGGAGUGGUUAGCUUCUGCGAAGCUACGAAUCGAAGCCCCAGUAAACGGCGGCCGUAACUAUAACGGUCCUAAGGUAGCGAAAUUCCUUGUCGGGUAAGUUCCGACCCGCACGAAAGGCGUAACGAUUUGGGCACUGUCUCAACGAGAGACUCGGUGAAAUCAUAGUACCUGUGAAGAUGCAGGUUACCCGCGACAGGACGGAAAGACCCCGUGGAGCUUUACUGUAGCCUGAUAUUGAAAUUCGGCACAGCUUGUACAGGAUAGGUAGGAGCCUUUGAAACGUGAGCGCUAGCUUACGUGGAGGCGCUGGUGGGAUACUACCCUAGCUGUGUUGGCUUUCUAACCCGCACCACUUAUCGUGGUGGGAGACAGUGUCANGCGGGCAGUUUGACUGGGGCGGUCGCCUCCUAAAAGGUAACGGAGGCGCUCAAAGGUUCCCUCAGAAUGGUUGGAAAUCAUUCAUAGAGUGUAAAGGCAUAAGGGAGCUUGACUGCGAGACCUACAAGUCGAGCAGGGUCGAAAGACGGACUUAGUGAUCCGGUGGUUCCGCAUGGAAGGGCCAUCGCUCAACGGAUAAAAGCUACCCCGGGGAUAACAGGCUUAUCUCCCCCAAGAGUUCACAUCGACGGGGAGGUUUGGCACCUCGAUGUCGGCUCAUCGCAUCCUGGGGCUGUAGUCGGUCCCAAGGGUUGGGCUGUUCGCCCAUUAAAGCGGUACGCGAGCUGGGUUCAGAACGUCGUGAGACAGUUCGGUCCCUAUCCGUCGUGGGCGUAGGAAAUUUGAGAGGAGCUGUCCUUAGUACGAGAGGACCGGGAUGGACAUACCUCUGGUGUACCAGUUGUCGUGCCAACGGCAUAGCUGGGUAGCUAUGUGUGGACGGGAUAAGUGCUGAAAGCAUCUAAGCAUGAAGCCCCCCUCAAGAUGAGAUUUCCCAACUUCGGUUAUAAGAUCCCUCAAAGAUGAUGAGGUUAAUAGGUUCGAGGUGGAAGCAUGGUGACAUGUGGAGCUGACGAAUACUAAUCGAUCGAAGACUUAAUCAA